This 406-nucleotide ribosomal RNA is filed under the name uncultured bacterium. RNAcentral's name for it is "partial 16S ribosomal RNA". It matches the Rfam family "Bacterial small subunit ribosomal RNA", at positions 30 to 526 of the family's 1533-position model. The record is from RNAcentral.
AUUGAACGCUGGCGGCAGGCUUAACACAUGCAAGUCGAGCGAGCGGCGGACGGGUGAGUAAUGUCUGGGAAACUGCCUGAUGGAGGGGGAUAACUACUGGAAACGGUAGCUAAUACCGCAUACCAUCAGAUGUGCCCAGAUGGGAUUAGCUAGUAGGUGGGGUAAUGGCUCACCUAGGCGACGAUCCCUAGCUGGUCUGAGAGGAUGACCAGCCGCACAGGAACAGAGACACGGUGCAGACUCCUAAGGGGGACAGCAGGGGAAAAUAUUGCACAAUGGGCGCAAGCCUGAUGCAGCCAUGCCGCGUGUGUGAAGAAAGCCGUCGGGUUGUAAAGCACUUUCAGCGAGGAGGCGUUACUCGCAGAAGAAGCACCGGCUAACUCCGUGCCAGCAGCCGCGGUAAUAC